UACGGAGGGUGCGAGCGUUAAUCGGAAUUACUGGGCGUAAAGCGCAUGUAGGCGGUUUGAUCAGUCGGAUGUGAAAUCCCCGGGCUUAACUUGGGAACUGCAUUCGAUACUGUCAGGCUAGAGUAGGCUAGAGGAAAGGGGAAUUCCGCGUGUAGCAGUGAAAUGCGUAGAUAUGCGGAGGAACACCAAUGGCGAAGGCACCUUUCUGGGGUCAUACUGACGCUGAGAUGCGAAAGCGGAGGGAGCAAACAGGAGUCGAUAACACGGUAGUUC
RNAcentral lists this ribosomal RNA (273 nucleotides) under uncultured bacterium. RNAcentral's name for it is "partial 16S ribosomal RNA". It matches the Rfam family "Bacterial small subunit ribosomal RNA", at positions 524 to 796 of the family's 1533-position model. The record is from RNAcentral.